GACGAACGCUGGCGGCGUGCUUAACACAUGCAAGUCGAACGGAAAGGCCCUGCUUUUGUGGGGUGCUCGAGUGGCGAACGGGUGAGUAACACGUGAGUAACCUGCCCUUGACUUUGGGAUAACUUCAGGAAACUGGGGCUAAUACCGGAUAGGAGCUCCUGCUGCAUGGUGGGGGUUGGAAAGUUUCGGCGGUUGGGGAUGGACCCGCGGCUUAUCAGCUUGUUGGUGGGGUAGUGGCUUACCAAGGCUUUGACGGGUAGCCGGCCUGAGAGGGUGACCGGCCACAUUGGGACUGAGAUACGGCCCAGACUCCUACGGGAGGCAGCAGUGGGGAAUAUUGCACAAUGGGCGGAAGCCUGAUGCAGCAACGCCGCGUGCGGGAUGACGGCCUUCGGGUUGUAAACCGCUUUCGCCUGUGACGAAGCGUGAGUGACGGUAAUGGGUAAAGAAGCACCAGCUAACUACGU
RNAcentral lists this ribosomal RNA (467 nucleotides) under uncultured bacterium. Its description in RNAcentral is "partial 16S ribosomal RNA". It matches the Rfam family "Bacterial small subunit ribosomal RNA", at positions 28 to 506 of the family's 1533-position model. The record is from RNAcentral.